Molecule: transfer RNA, 72 nt
Filed under: bacterium
Lineage: Bacteria
Also listed under: 1 other name
Description: tRNA-Val
Rfam family: tRNA
About the family: Transfer RNA (tRNA) molecules are approximately 80 nucleotides in length. Their secondary structure includes four short double-helical elements and three loops (D, anti-codon, and T loops). Further hydrogen bonds mediate the characteristic L-shaped molecular structure. tRNAs have two regions of fundamental functional importance: the anti-codon, which is responsible for specific mRNA codon recognition, and the 3' end, to which the tRNAs corresponding amino acid is attached (by aminoacyl-tRNA synthetases). tRNAs cope with the degeneracy of the genetic code in two manners: having more than one tRNA (with a specific anti-codon) for a particular amino acid; and 'wobble' base-pairing, i.e. permitting non-standard base-pairing at the 3rd anti-codon position.
Source: RNAcentral
GGGCGCAUGGCUCAGUGGUAGAGCGUUCGCUUCACAUGCGAAAGGUCGUAGGUUCGAUCCCUACUGCGCCCA